RNAcentral lists this ribosomal RNA (366 nucleotides) under uncultured organism. RNAcentral's name for it is "bacterial SSU rRNA". It matches the Rfam family "Bacterial small subunit ribosomal RNA", at positions 526 to 896 of the family's 1533-position model. The record is from RNAcentral.
CGUAGGGGCAAGCGUUAUCCGGAAUUAUUGGGCGUAAAGAGUGCGUAGGUGGUUUGUAAGCGCGAGGUGAAAGGCUAUGGCUCAACCAUAGUAAGCCUUGUGAACUGUAAGACUUGAGUGCAGGAGAGGAAAGUGGAAUUCCUAGUGUAGCGGUGAAAUGCGUAGAUAUUAGGAGGAACACCAGUGGCGAAGGCGACUUUCUGGACUGUAACUGACACUGAGGCACGAAGCGUGGGGAGCAAACAGGAUUAGAUACCCUGGUAGUCCACGCCGUAAACGAUGAGCACUAGGUGUCGGGGUCGCAAGGCUUCGGUGCCGCAGUUAACGCAUUAAGUGCUCCGCCUGGGGAGUACGCACGCAAGUGUG